UUGUUUUGUUUUAAAGAUAAGGGCAAGUGAAGUGUAGAUACCUUGAAGCAGGAACCUUAGCACUUGACCUUGAAGUCCUUCCAAGCUUCCUUGCUUAGAGCUGGAAAGUUCCGGAUAUCUCUGGAGAUGAAAAAAUGCACAGGAUAGCAGAGAUUUCCAUGGGGAAGGCCACCUUUUCUGGCUAGACUGCCAGCCUUCCAACCAACCGUCCUUCCUUCCCACAACAAGAACAGGCUCCACUGCCACAAAGUCUGGGAGCUGAGGACAGUCUCACCUGUAAGAUAUUAGAGCAGUAAAACCUCAUAGAGAUGAUAUUAUAUUAAUAGGGUAAGGGCAUAGACUCUAGUCAAAUGGUUGAGUUUGAAUACUGGGUCCGCCUCUUAGUAGCUAUGUAAACUGGGCAAGUUAAUGAACCUCUUUGAGUCUCAAUAUUAUUUUCUGUAAGAUAGAGAUGAUUUUAGUCCCAUUUCAUAGUUAUUAUGAGAAUUAAAUGAGUCAAUACAUUUAAGGUGUGUAAAACAGUGUUUUUAAUGUAGGAAGUGCUCAGUAAGUGUUAACCAUUUAUAUAUCAAGCCACUUAAGCAGUGAUUUGGCCAAAGACAGAAUCUCUAGCCCUCUCCAGCUCAGUGAUUUUAAACAGCCCAGAUGAUCUUUGUGGGGGUAUAAAUACUUUCAUUUUAAUAACUAUACAUUUCUUAUGUAUCAGGAAAAAAUUUCAAGUCCAUUUUUUCCUAGACAUUAUUGAUCAGAUUGAAGAUAAAGCUUUAAAACGUGAAUAUACAUCAGAACAUGUACUUUGCAACAUGGACAACAUUAUAAUGACAAAAGCUGAAUCUGAAAGGAUAAAUGAGAGUAGGGAAGGCCCCCCUGGCAGAGGGGCUACUUGUGCAAAGGCCCAGGGAUAAUCCAGCAUGAGAACAGGAAAGAGAGAUGAUGCUGGAGAUGGGCAAUCAGAAUACACUGAGCUUUCUAUGCCAUGUUAAUGAGUUUGGACCUUGUCCCAGAGGUGAGGGGAAGUGCAGGUGGACAAGGCUGAUGAGGAUGUGAAGCAGGGAGCUGGUUAGAACCCUGUUGCCCAUUAAGAUAUGAUGAGGAUGUGAGCAGCAGUCGUGGAAAGAGUGAAACAAGUAGGUGAAGUCAAGAAAUAUUUGGGAGGUAAAAGAGGAUGCCCAGCAUUCUAGCUCGGAAUCCAAACAGAUGCUGUGUCAUCAACCAAGCCUGUGAAUGCAGGGGUUGGAGUGAGGGGGAUGUUCACUAAAUGAGGGCAGAGAAAAUAUUCAGUUUGGUUUGGAACUGUCA
Molecule: long non-coding RNA, 1299 nt
Filed under: Pan troglodytes (chimpanzee)
Lineage: Eukaryota; Metazoa; Chordata; Mammalia; Primates; Hominidae
Description: long non-coding RNA NONPTRT013561
Source: RNAcentral